UGAAAGCAUACGGCCUCAGACUUGUGGA
Molecule: small RNA, 28 nt
Filed under: Bombyx mori (domestic silkworm)
Lineage: Eukaryota; Metazoa; Arthropoda; Insecta; Lepidoptera; Bombycidae
Description: ovarian small RNA-886
Source: RNAcentral